This is a non-coding RNA of Macrostomum lignano, 107 nucleotides long. The record is from Rfam. NCBI's taxonomy places the organism in Eukaryota, Metazoa, Platyhelminthes, Macrostomidae.
GGCCUGUACAUUGCACUCCGUAUGGGCUGACUCCUGCGACUACCCCCAAUCGGGGUGGCUCGAGCGCAUAAUUUUUGGUAGUGGGACAAGCGUUCGCGCUGUCCCUU